AUUGAACGCUGGCGGCAGGCCUAACACAUGCAAGUCGAGCGGAUGAAGGGAGCUUGCUCCUGGAUUCAGCGGCGGACGGGGGAGUAAUGCCUAGGAAUCUGCCUGGUAGUGGGGGAUAACGUCCGGAAACGGGCGCUAAUACCGCAUACGUCCUGAGGGAGAAAGUGGGGGAUCUUCGGACCUCACGCUAUCAGAUGAGCCUAGGUCGGAUUAGCUAGUUGGUGGGGUAAAGGCCUACCAAGGCGGCGAUCCGUAACUGGUCUGAGAGGAUGAUCAGUCACACUGGAACUGAGACACGGUCCAGACUCCUACGGGAGGCAGCAGUGGGGAAUAUUGGACAAUGGGCGAAAGCCUGAUCCAGCCAUGCCGCGUGUGUGAAGAGGGUCUUCGGAUUGUAAAGCACUUUAAGUUGGGAGGAAGGGCAGUAAGUUAAUACCUUGCUGUUUUGACGUUACCAACAGAAUAAGCACCGGCUAACUUCGUG
Molecule: ribosomal RNA, 484 nt
Filed under: uncultured bacterium
Lineage: Bacteria
Description: partial 16S ribosomal RNA
Rfam family: Bacterial small subunit ribosomal RNA
Source: RNAcentral